GACGAACGCUGGCGGCGUGCUUAACACAUGCAAGUCGAACGGAAAGGCCCUGCUUGCAGGGUACUCGAGUGGCGAACGGGUGAGUAACACGUGGGUGAUCUGCCCUGCACUUCGGGGUAAGCCUGGGAAACUGGGUCUAAUACCGGAUAGGAGCCAUUUUUAGUGUGAUGGUUGGAAAGUUUUUUCGGUGUAGGAUGAGCUCGCGGCCUAUCAGCUUGUUGGUGGGGUAAUGGCCUACCAAGGCGGCGACGGGUAGCCGGCCUGAGAGGGUGGACGGCCACAUUGGGACUGAGAUACGGCCCAGACUCCUACGGGAGGCAGCAGUGGGGAAGAUUGCACAAUGGGCGCAAGCCUGAUGCAGCGACGCCGCGUGGGGGAUGACGGCCUUCGGGUUGUAAACUCCGUUCGCUAGGGACGAAGCUUUUUGUGACGGUACCUAGAUAAGAAGCACCGGCUAACUACGUG
RNAcentral lists this ribosomal RNA (465 nucleotides) under uncultured bacterium. RNAcentral's name for it is "partial 16S ribosomal RNA". It matches the Rfam family "Bacterial small subunit ribosomal RNA", at positions 28 to 507 of the family's 1533-position model. The record is from RNAcentral.